This 470-nucleotide long non-coding RNA is filed under the name Homo sapiens (human). RNAcentral's name for it is "HSALNT0110368". The record is from RNAcentral. Lineage: Eukaryota; Metazoa; Chordata; Mammalia; Primates; Hominidae.
CCACUGAUUCUUCUGAAUCUUAGGCCUUUGGACUUGGACUGGAACUAAACCAUCAGCUCUUCUUGUUCUACCACUUGCAGACUGUAUGUCUUGGGACAUGUCAGCCUCUGUAAUCACGCUCAAUUUUCCUACAUAAUUAAGAGUUUGGAAUUCGGGCAAUAUCAAGAACCACAUCUGUCCUGAAAUCAAUUAUCUCUGUUUGGCUUUACUACAUCAGAUCCACCUAGUCCCUGGACUAAUCAGGCACUUUUCUGAUUUUAGAAACACAAGAAAUAAGAAGACCAUUUUGAGAAGAACAGAGAGUAGCCUUAAGAAAAUCCCUGUCGCAAGCACUCUGGGAUUUGGACUCAAAUGCUAAUUAUACAGUCUAUAAUGAUGACUGGAAUAGGAAAUUCGGACAGCAAAAGUGGUCGCUUCUUAGGCUUCCUGCCAGAUUUUGAAAACCACUAUAACUAGUCGUUUCUGCCAAG